AAGAAUGCUAUUUCUGUUGUUUCUCCCUCACAGAAACCUCUGAUAUUCACUAAACCAAACAUUCUAAUUCUCUCUCUCUAAUUCUUUCAAGCAGACACCGCAAAUCGGAUUCAAGCUCAAUGGCAGUUCGAUGCUAGAUAAAUCGGAUUCCCAGUAAUCCGACCUCCAAUACUUAUUGCCUCUGGUUCUCCGAUUUUCAGCCUUCAAUAUUACGCCUUAAUCUCAGGCUUCAUUCCUCUCUUGCUCUUUCUCCCUCUCAACAGAUCCCUAUUCCAAUACCGCCAAGUCUCCUUUUUCCAGUGCGUCUCCAUCUUAUUUUCAGAUAUUGAAGCAGAGAAAAGUUAAAAAAAAAAAAUUAAAAAUGAAAUUCUUGGGUUGGUACGUGAAGAUAGCAAUCGUUUCAGCCAUGAUUGGAGGCUCCAUGGAGUUGUUCAUGGUCAAAACUGGCUUUUAUGACAAGGUAACCGAAUUGGAGGCAGAAAAGAGGGCCUGGGAGAGCUCCCCUGAAGCCAAAGCCAUUAAAGACGCUCUCAAUCCGUGGAGAAAUCGUGAUGCAGAACCAAA
This is a long non-coding RNA of Ipomoea triloba (trilobed morning glory), 564 nucleotides long. RefSeq lists it as uncharacterized. The transcript has 2 exons. The record is from RefSeq and is a predicted model, not a curated record. Lineage: Eukaryota; Viridiplantae; Streptophyta; Magnoliopsida; Solanales; Convolvulaceae.